CCGACUGAUGAGACUAAGGCGAAUGCGACUCUGCCUACUGACCCUUGGCUUCUAGGGGUGGGGAGGGGUGACUGGUGAGAUCUGAAAUCUUGGUGGGGGUACCUGAGGCCUGACUCCCCGCUGUAAGGCCGGAUCAAGAGCACCGCUGGCCUUGCCUUCACGUCUGCUGCCACCAGUUCUUGGCAGCAUCCUACAGGGAGGCCCACAGGGGGUAGCCAAAGUGUGAGUAGCCAUGUGAGCGCAACCUUGAAUCUGACA
Molecule: small nucleolar RNA, 258 nt
Organism: Peromyscus maniculatus bairdii (prairie deer mouse)
Lineage: Eukaryota; Metazoa; Chordata; Mammalia; Rodentia; Cricetidae
Source: Ensembl